Molecule: long non-coding RNA, 221 nt
Organism: Terrapene triunguis (Three-toed box turtle)
Lineage: Eukaryota; Metazoa; Chordata; Testudines; Emydidae
Exons: 4
Source: RefSeq, a predicted model, not a curated record
CAGAACUACGGCAGCGGGAUGCGGCCCCCGCCCAACUCGCUGGGCGGCCCCGGCAUGCCCACCAUGAACAUGGGCCCAGGAGGGCGAGCGCCGUGGCCAAACCCCAACACCAACUCUAUCGCGUACUCCUCCUCGUCACCCGGGAGCUACGUGGGCCCUCCAGGAGGCGGCGGCCCCCCCGGAACCCCCAUCAUGCCCAGCCCAGGAGGUGAAGUAUCCGC